GCUGGGUGUGGUGUUGCAUGCCUUUAAUCCCAGUGGCUGGGAGGCUGAGGCAGGAGCAUCAGGGGUUCAAUGCUAGUCUCAGAAACUUAGCAAAGCCCUAAGAUACUCAGCAAAACCCUGUCUCUA
Molecule: small RNA, 126 nt
Filed under: Marmota monax (woodchuck)
Lineage: Eukaryota; Metazoa; Chordata; Mammalia; Rodentia; Sciuridae
Source: RNAcentral